This 876-nucleotide ribosomal RNA is filed under the name Anastrepha aphelocentema. RNAcentral's name for it is "partial 16S ribosomal RNA". The record is from RNAcentral. Lineage: Eukaryota; Metazoa; Arthropoda; Insecta; Diptera; Tephritidae.
UAGUUUUUUUNGNANUAANUUUNNUUUNCNAUUUUUUAAUUUUUAAUUUUUUUAAAAAAAUUAAAAAUUUAUUAAUUUGAAUAUUUUAAGGGAUAAGCUUUAAAAUAAAAUAUUAAAAAUAUUAGAUAAUUAAUUAAAAAUGUAUGCAUAGAAUUAGCAAUCAUUUAUAAAUUUGUUAUAAAUUAUUUUAUAAUUUUUAUUAUUUAUUUUUAUUUUAAUUUAAUUUAUAAAAAUUUUUUUAUUAAUUUUUAUUAAAAUGUAAUAAUGAUUUAAUUAGUAUAUAAGAACUAUUGUUGAUAAUAAUUUAUUUUGGAAAGUUUAUGUAAAGAACUCGGCAAAUAAAUUUACUCGCCUGUUUAACAAAAACAUGUCUUUUUGAAUUAUAUUUAAAGUCUAACCUGCCCACUGAAUUAUUUUAAAUGGCCGCAGUAUUUUGACUGUGCAAAGGUAGCAUAAUCAUUAGUCUUUUAAUUGAAGGCUGGUAUGAAUGGUUGGACGAGGUAUAUACUGUUUCAUAUAAAUUUAUUAUAGAAUUUUAUAUUUUAGUUAAAAAGCUAAAAUUUUAUUAAAAGACGAGAAGACCCUAUAAAUCUUUAUAUUUGUUUUUAUUUAAAUUUUAUAGAUUUUGUUUAUUUUUAUAGAAAUAAAUAUUUUGUUGGGGUGAUGUUAAAAUUUAAUGAACUUUUAAUUAUUUAAGAAUCAUUAAUUUAUGAAUUAUUGAUCCAUUAAUAUUGAUUAUAAGAUUAAGUUACUUUAGGGAUAACAGCGUAAUUUUUUUUGAGAGUUCAUAUCGACAAAAAAGUUUGCGACCUCGAUGUUGGAUUAAGGUAUAGUUUUGGGUGUAGCUGUUCAUAAACUAAGUCUGUUCGACUUUUA